UGAAUUGACGGGGACCCGCACAAGUAGUGGAGCAUGUGGUUUAAUUCGAAGAUACGCGCAGAACCUUACCGACACUUGACAUGUUCGUCGCGACUGUAAGAGAUUAAAGUUUUCGGUUCGGCCGGACGAAACACAGGUGCUGCAUGGCUGUCGUCAGCUCGUGUCGUGAGAUGUUGGGUUAAGUCCCGCAACGAGCGCAACCCUCACUUUUAGUUGCCAUCAUUAAGUUGGGCACUCUGAAAGAACUGCCAGUGAUAAGCUGGAGGAAGGUGGGGAUGACGUCAAGUCCUCAUGGCCCUUACGUGUUGGGCUACACACGUGCUACAAUGGUAUCUACAACAGGAAGCAAGACGGCGACGUUAAGCAAAUCCUUAAAAGAUACCUCAGUUCGGAUUGCACUCUGCAACUCGAGUGCAUGAAGCUGGAAUUACUAGUAAUCGUGGAUCAGCGUGCCACGGUGAAUGCGUUCCCGGGUCUUGUACACACCGCCCGUCACACCAUGGGAGUUGGUUCUACCUUAAGGCAAGGUUUCAAACCCUUGACCACGGUAUAGUCAGCGACUGGGGUGAAGUCGUAACAAGGUAGCC
RNAcentral lists this ribosomal RNA (587 nucleotides) under uncultured bacterium. RNAcentral describes it as "bacterial SSU rRNA". It matches the Rfam family "Bacterial small subunit ribosomal RNA", at positions 906 to 1501 of the family's 1533-position model. The record is from RNAcentral.